Molecule: long non-coding RNA, 22367 nt
Filed under: Malus domestica (apple)
Lineage: Eukaryota; Viridiplantae; Streptophyta; Magnoliopsida; Rosales; Rosaceae
Description: long non-coding RNA (MDOM_LNC010023)
Source: RNAcentral
AACUCGAAUUAUAUUUCAAGAAAACAUCUCUCUUUUAUUUCUAAUACCGAGAAGAAUGAAGCUGACGGAAUUCUACUAGACACCAUAUAACGAGGAUGUUAACAAUCACAAAAGGUUGUGGCUUCGGCUAUUCGCUUACUUUCAUAUGUACAAACCAAUAAGAUGUCAGUUCGCCAAAAAAAAAAAAAACCAAUAAGAUGUCAUUUGUUGCACCAGAAUUUCAUUCUAAAGAUUCUGUUUCCGUUGCUUACUAUAUGUAUAAUUAAUUUCGAUUGCGAUUAUUACUGUUUGAAUUCAUCUCUCGACUGCCUAUGGGGACGUCAAGGUGGACACCAAAAUGGAGGCGCGAUGACCUGCAUCCGGAAAGUGACGUAGCCAUAACGUGCAUGCAAAUAUAAUUUAAUAAAAUAACUUCAAAUGAUCUACUGAAAAAUCGGCAUAGUCUCCUUUGGAAUUAGGUUUUGGCCCCCAAAUUUAAAACCUGCUGAAAAAGUUAUAAUUAUUUCAAAACCACAUCCCCGUCACCUAAUGGGUUAUCAACCCUCUACUACAUGCACGUAUACUCCAAUAUACUUACUGGUGGUUAGGCCUGGCAAUUCCUGACACGAUCCGAUAACCCGACACGACACGACACGAAAUUAACAGGUGUCCGGGUCGACACGAUAACGAAACGGAUCAUUAUCGGGUAACCCGAUAAGCACCUGUUAAGAUAACGGGUUUGUUCGGGUAUACACGUGGGUAACACGAUACACGAUAAGCAAAAUAUUAAUUUAAUAAUUUAUAACCCUAAAAAAAUACUAUAAUAAUUAUAUAUAUAUAUAUAUAUAUUAAUUUAACAAUUUUAUACCCCUAAAAACUAUAAUAAUUAUAUAUAUAUAUAUAUAUAUAUAUAUUAAAUUAACUAUAAUAAUUAUAAUAAUUAUAUAUACUAUAAUAAUUAUACCCAACAUAUUAACUAUAAUAAUUAUAUAUAUAUUAAAUUUUAUACCCCUAAAAUCUAUAAUAAUUAUACAUACAAAAUAAAUAGAUUUAAAUCUACUUAAUAAAUAAAUAUAUAUAUAUACACACACACACCAUUGAACUUCAUGGAAUACGAAUUAUACAAAACUAAUUUCAACGAUCCAACCGUCAAACAUGUUUGUAUAUACUUCGUAUAUACUUCGAGAUUGCAUACGCCAAAAAUUGCAAAAAACAAACAUUUAGAGAGCAAAUAACAUGACAAAACUUUUCGACGGUUAUAAACGAAAAAUCACGAUUUAACAGUCAUUUUAACUCCGAUUUUGAUGAUUUUUUACAACCACACUCCUUGACCCUAUAUGAAUACAAUGAUUGAAUUCGAUCUUCAAUUUAAAAUAUUUACACUAGUGGAUACCACAAAAUCUUAUGUUAUACUUAAUAAAAGUAUGAAUAAACUCUUAAGUAUUAGUGAAUCUAUUGUUUUGAUGGGAUACUCAUUCUACAAAACUAGUUUCAAUGAUCCAACCGUCAAACAUGUUUGUAUAUACUUCGAGAUCGCAUACGCCAAAAAUUGCAAAAAACAAACAUUCAGAGAUCAAGUAAUGGGACAAAAGUUUUUCGACGGUUAUAAACGAAAAAUCACGAUUUAACGGUUAUUUUAACUCCGAUUUUGAUGAUUUUUUACAACUACACUCCUUGACCCUAUAUGAAUACAAGUAAUGAAUUCGAUCUUCAAUUUAAAAUAUUUACACUAGUGGAUACCGCAAAAAAUCUUAUGUUAUACUUAAUAAAAGUAUGAAUAAACUAUUAAGUAUUAGUGAAUCUAUUGUUUUGAUGGGAUACUCAUUCUACAAAAACUAGUUUCAAAGAUCCAACCGUCAAACAUGUUUGUAUAUACUUCGAGAUCGCAUACGUCAAAAAUUACAAAAAACAAACAUUCAGAGAUCAAUUAACGGGACAAAAACUUUUCGACGGUUAUAAAAAGAAAAAUCACGAUUUAACGGUCAUUUUAACUCUGAUUUUGAUGAUUUUUUGCAGCUACACUCCUUGACCUUAUAUGAAUACAAUGAUUGAAUUCGAUCUUCAAUUUAAAAUAUUUACACUAGUGGAUACCACAAAAUCUUAUAUUAUACUUAAUAAAAGUAUGAAUAAACUAUUAAGUAUUAGUGAAUCUAUUGUUUUGAUGGGAUACUCAUUCUACGAAACUAGUUUCAAUGAUCCAACCGUCAAACAUGUUUGUAUAUAUACUUCGAGAUCGCAUACGCCAAAAAUUGCAAAAAACAAACAUUCAGAGAUCAAGUAACGGGACAAAACAUUUUCGACGGUUAUAAACGAAAAAAUCACGAUUUAACGGUCAUUUUAACUCCGAUUUUGAUGAUUUUUUACAACUACACUCCUUGAUGAAUAUGAAUACAAUGAUUGAAUUCGAUCUUCAAUUUAAAAUAUUUACACUAGUGGAUACCACAAAAUCUUAUGUUAUACUUAAUAAAAGUAUGAAUAAACUCUUAAGUAUUAGUGAAUCUAUUGUUUUGAUGGGAUACUCAUUCUACGAAACUAGUUUCAAUGAUCCAACCGUCAAACAUGUUUUUAUAUAUUUCGAGAUCGCAUACGCCAAAAAUUGCAAAAAAACAAACAUUCAGAGAGCAAGUAACGGGACAAAACUUUUCGACGGUUAUAAACGAAAAAAUCACGAUUUAACGGUUAAUUUUAACUCCGAUUUUGAUGAUUUUUUACAACUACACUCCUUGACCUUAUAUGAAUACAAUGAUUGAAUUCGAUCUUCAAUUUAAAAUAUUUACACUAGUGGAUACCACAAAAUCUUAUGUUAUACUUAAUAAAAGUAUGAAUAAACUCUUAAGUAUUAGUGAAUCUAUUGUUUUGAAUGGGAUACUCAUUCUACGAAACUAGUUUCAAUGAUCCAACCGUCAAACAUGUUUGUAUAUAUUUCGAGAUCGCAUACGCCAAAAAUUGCAAAAAAAAAAAAAACAUUCAGAGAUCAAGUAACGGGACAAAACUUUUCGACGGUUAUAAACGAAAAAUCACGAUUUAACGGUUAUUUUAACUCCGAUUUUGAUGAUUUUUUACAACUACACUCCUUGACCUUAUAUGAAUACAAUGAUUGAAUUCGAUCUUCAAUUUAAAAUAUUUACACUAGUGGAUACCACAAAAUCUUAUGUUAUACUUAAUAAAAGUAUGAAUAAACUAUUAAGUAUUAGUGAAUCUAUUGUUUUGAUGGGAUACUCAUUCUACAAAACUAGUUUCAAAGAUCCAACCGUCAAACAUGUUUGUAUAUACUUCAAGAUCGCAUACGUCAAAAAUUACAAAAAACAAACAUUCAGAGAUCAAUUAACGGGACAAAACUUUUCGACGGUUAUAAAAAGAAAAAUCACGAUUUAACGGUCAUUUUAACUCUAAUUUUGAUGAUUUUUUGUAGCUACACUCCUUGAACUUAUAUGAAUACAAUGAUUGAAUUCGAUCUUCAAUUUAAAAUAUUUACACUAGUGGAAACCACAAAAUCUUAUAUUAUACUUAAUAAAAGUAUGAAUAAACUAUUAAGUAUUAGUGAAUCUAUUGUUUUGAUGGGAUACUCAUUCUACGAAACUAGUUUCAAAGAUCCAACCGUCAAACAUGUUUGUAUAUACUUCAAGAUCGCAUACGUAAAAAAAAAUUACAAAAAACAAACAUUCAGAGAUCAAGUAACGGACAAAACUUUUCGACGGUUAUAAACGAAAAAUCACGAUUUAACGGUCAUUUUAACUCCGAUUUUGAUGUUUUUUUACAACCACACUCCUUGACCCUAUAUGAAUACAAUGAUUGAAUUCGAUCUUCAAUUUAAAAUAUUUACACUAGUGGAUACCACAAAAUCUUAUAUUAUAUACUUAAUAAAAGUAUGAAUAAACUAUUAAGUAUUAGUGAAUCUAUUGUUUUUGAUGGGAUACUCAUUCUACGAAACUAGUUUCAAUGAUCCAACCGUCAAACAUGUUUAUAUAUACUUCGAGAUUGCAUACGCCAAAAAUUGAAAAAAACAAACAUUAAGAGAUCAAGUAACGGGACAAAACGUUUCGACGGUUAGAAACGAAAAAUCAUGAUUUAACGGUCAUUUUAACUCCGAUUUUGAUGAUUUUUUACAACUACACUCCUUGACCCUAUAUGAAUACAAUGAUUGAAUUCGAUCUUCAAUUUAAAAUAUUUACACUAGUGGAAACCACAAAAUCUUAUGUUAUACUUAAUAAAAGUAUGAAUAAACUCUUAAGUAUUAGUGAAUAUAUUGUUUUGAUGGGAUACUCAUUCUACGAAACUAGUUUCAAUGAUCCAACCGUCAAACAUGUUUGUAUAUAUUUCGAGAUCGCAUAUGCCAAAAAUUGCAAAAAACAAACAUUCAGAGAGAACGUAAUGGGACAAAACUUUUCGACGGUUAUAAACGAAAAAUCACGAUUUAACGGUUAAUUUAACUCCGAUUUUGAUGAUUUUAUACAACUACACUCCUUGACCUUAUAUGAAUACAAUGAUUGAAUUCGAUCUUCAAUUUAAAAUAUUUACACUAGUGGAUACCACAAAAUCUUAUGUUUAUACUUAAUAAAAGUAUGGUAUAGUACUAUUGUUUUAUUUUUUUUCAUAAUUAUUUUGGUAAACUUCUCAUAAUUUGAAUAAUUUUUAAUGUUUGGUUUUUCUAUGCUUAGUUUAUGCAGAAGAUAGUUAUGACGUGGAAAACCUUACUGAAAAGGUCAUCAACAUAACUCUUGAAGGCAAUAGAUCAAGCCAAAGUUCCAAUGCAAUUUCAUGAUGAUCGAUGUAAAUCGAUGAUUUUGUAAAUUGAGGUUUAAACUUUUGAGAAAGAUUUCAUAACCUUGAAAACAAAAACUGUUUCAUUUUGCAUAUCCUUGCACAUAUAAAAUUUGUAAUAGAUUAGUAGUGUAUGUAUUAUUUUUUUAUUAGGCUCUUAUUUUCGAGUGUAGAUGUAGUACUUAAACGACAAAUGUGUUUUAAUGUUUUGAAGUAAUAUUUAUGUGGCAAUGUGUGGUAUGUGCAAAUUUAAGAAAAAAAAAAUAUUUUUCUUAACGGGUCAUAACGGGUCGGGUCACUUUACCCGUUGGGUAAAGUGACACGACCUGUUAAGGACCCGUUAAGAUAACAGGUGUGACACGACACGACCCAUUAAGAUAACAGGUGUUAUACGAAAACGACACGAACACGACUGACACGACCCGUUUGCCAGGCCUACUGGUGGUAUAGCAUACAAUUUCAUACACUAGUGAUAACUAGUGUAAGCUGAAAAUUUAACCAUACACUAGUCAUAGUUAGUGUAAGAAAUGCAAAAGAUUGGGGAGAUGCGAAAGAACUCAUCUCUGGUCCUGGAAAUAUUGCAUACAAUAUUGCUCUACCAAUUAAACCAAAUCUUAUGACUCUAGUGACAAGCUAGAAAGCCACAAAAGAAUAAACAAGGAAUCAGGCUAUGCAAUUUCCUACCACAUUUUCACAUCAACGUGAUUGUUAGGGGUUUCAACAACUUCACAGAAUAACCACAAAUCUCAUCUCCGGCAUUCAGGCAGAAAAAUCAAAUAAAAGUUUGAAAUCAAGAAUCAAUCCCGAAACUGAAAGUUGAAAUUUUGGAAAAAUAACUUACAUCAGAGGACUUUCCAUGAGGAGAAGAUCAUUUUUACCUCUUGGGUCGAGGACAUUCCACGAUGAGCCUGCAUAAAUGAACCAAUUAAACAAAGAAAUGAAAACCGAAUAACUCGGAAGCUAAAGUAUCACAGAUAGAAAAUUGCAUAUACCUAACUAAAAAUGCACAACCUAACGAGAUGUGGUAGUCUAAGUGUAUAACACAAGGGUGAGAAGUACUCUAGUGCUCACAAACUGAAGCCACAAGACUACCAGAUAAUGUAGCUUCAGAAAUAUCAUUCGUUCUUUUGCGCACAAUCAUACAUGCUCAUCAGAACAAAGUAUGAUCUCCAACGGAAAUAGAAGUGACACAGGUGAAAGUCAAAAUAAACAAACAAAUAAUAGUGAACGAGAAGGCCCUAAAGAAUUGCUCUAACUAGGAGACAAGCUUAAAUUAUUCAGAUAAUAAGCCUUGCACAAACCCAACUUUCAAAAAACUAGAUUAGUAUGCCGUGAUAUUUAACAAUGCCGUCAAAAACUUGCUUGUUGAACUACUCAACCCUGUAUUCCAUCUCCUUCUCUGCCAUACCAAAAAUUUGCACAAUUGUUUAAAACCAAAUUAAGGUCUUUCGAAAACCCACCAGAGAUUAUUUGAAAAACACGAAUUUAGAACAAUAAUUCAAAACCAAAGAACAGAAAAUCCAUCACACCAGAGUAAAAAUUAACCAUCUUGUUGCUUCCUAACUCUCAAGAAAUAUCCACGUCUCACUUUUACUAAUGUCAAAACACUGCCAUCAUUGAUCAAUUAGACAAAUAAGACCCAAUUCGAUUACGCCCAAACUCACAGAACACCCAGAUUCCCAACAUCAAUUGAACAAUCUAACCAUGAAUUUCCAAAACUUUCCCCAAAAUCCAGUCUUGGGCAUGCAUUAAAUCCAAUCUAAAACUUGAAUUCAUUUUUAGAGAACAAAAAGUAAAAACUUUGGAACAAUGAAGCAAAAGGGUAAUUACCUGUUCCUUGUCCAAAACCGUCGGCGCAUUGUUGGGGGCAGCCAUUAGAACCUGGACAAUUCGCAAAUUCGCAAAUUAAUUUACACAAACUUCUUCGAAACCGAAUGAAUUAGCAGAGAGGGUUUAAGUAAUCUUACUCGGUGGGAUGGAAUCGAACGCGCUGAAAGUGGUAGCUCUAAAUGCAGAGGGGUUUAAGCGUCCGAUUUGAAGCGAAAGCAGGAGAAAAUAAAAAUCCCACUGAGCUAAUAAUAUACGAAUUAGGGUUUUAGGAGUUAAUAUAGCGUGUAUAUGCGAUGGACGGUUUUGUUUUUCGGGGGGAUUUCAACCGGAAAAGUUAGUGGAUUAUUGCCCUUUCUUUUCUCCUUCCCAAAGGCCCUGUAUGGUGGGCCGUCGUAUAUAAUUGUCCUUUUCUUUCUUAUUUUUUGGAUUUUUUUAUUUCUUUUCUAACUCAUAGAUCAUCGGGGCUCAGGUUCAGUUGAUUAAAGUAGUAUGUUUCUUUUGUUAUGCUAUAGUUUGAAUAUUCAUUCAAAUGAUUUAGAUUUCUUGGUGCAAAGUAUCAUUCAAUUAAAGAAAAAACUCGUAUUAUGUUUGCUUACAACCAUUGUAUGUUUGCUAACAACAAAGGAUUUGAGAGGAAAAAAACGUGAAUCCACAUUGAAAGGAAAAAAAUAUGUGCUAGAUUACGCACUGCAAAUGGAAACAAGUUGUCACCCCUAUUUAUCCAAAAAUAAUAUACUUGUUAUAGAAUAUUAUAUUACGAAGGGCGGAGAGCGUGUGUACGGCAAAUUAGGAACGGGUACAGCAACGUAGCAGCACAAGCAAGACGAUGAUUGGAACUGCAACUUACCCCACACAUUCACAGAAGCCUUUUUCUUUCCCCUGCUGGUGUUCAUGAAAGCACUUUGAAGUGAAAAAGCCAUGAAAUUACGAAGGCAAGGAUCAUGCAGACAAGAAGGAAAUUCAUAAUGCAGCGGCCAUGCCACAUGGUUCAGGUUUCAACCUGGAUCAUGGGUGGUGCUGGUACUGAUGCGGCUGUGGCAGUACUGCUAUUUGCCUCGUUAAUCUGGUCACCUGAAAUGUUGAAUGCAGUUACUCCACAGAUCUCGCAGGUUCUGCAAAUCAUAUGAAUAAAAUUAUGCAUAGGCAGAAAAUAACAUAUCAGUCAGACAAGACAAGUAAUUACAACCAUAACGCAACAUAAUGAAGAAAUGUACCAUGAGGAUUUUGAACAAACAUAAUGAAGUGUAACCAACAGCAUACAAAUAUAAAAAAUAUAGAGGAAAAUGCUAUACAAUCACUGUAAGUGAUUUCAAAGGCCAUCAAUCUUCUAUUUCUGUUUCUGGAAAAAAAGUCAUGUCAUCAAGAUGUCGUUCCAUUUGCUUACCAUGAUGAGUAAAAUGAAAUUUGAACUAGCUUGCUGUUCUUGCAUAUCUUCUCCUCAUCCUGGUUACCAAGCAAGUCAGCCUUGACCAAUCCAUCUAUGAUGCAGCUUAUCUAGAUUAUAUUUCCUGUUGCCUAAGUUUGGAUAUUUCCUUUGCAGAGGGUAUAGCGUGCAAGGUCCUAAGAACUUUACCAAAUUAUCAUCCUUCGAGUAGAGAAAAUCUCCCAAAUAUAUAAGCGAAAUAAACUUGUGACGGAAUCAAAGAAUGCAAAUGCUCAUCAUCAUUUACUAAUCCAUAUGCAUAAUGUAAACAUUUACAUCUUUAUUAGAAGCAUACAUAAAAAAUACAUGGCACACAAGAUAUCAACUUUUCGACCUAGGAGCUCAAUUCUUGCAUACAAACACACUUCCUUUAGUUUGCAUUGGACCUCGCACUUUCCACUAAUGUAAAUGCCACAGAAAGUGUGACUGUAAAAACUUUAAACGUAGAACGAUCGAUAUGUUUGAGUUCAGAUGGACUGUAAUAUUGGUGACUACAAGAUUUGUUCUUUUACUAGAUUUUCUCGUAUUUCAUAUGAGCAUACGCAUUCUACUAUAUACGUGAUCUGCCUCAUUUAGCAUUCCAGUAAGAAGCAAAAUGAUAAGAACAAUUGUGACAAUUACAUCAAAAGAAAGAAGCUAAUUAGCAAGUAAUCAUUCGAAUAAGCUGAACUCACAGAAGCAGAAACCUAAACACUAUCAAGAUGGUCUCUGUUGUAGCAUGCCCAUAGUAAGAUCAUAGUUUGAAGUAUGUUAGGAUGCCACUUGUCAUCAUCUCAAUAUGACAAAUGUAAGGUUGAGAUGCUCUAGUAGUAGAUAAGAUGGUUGUAAGUUGUCGGAUGAUAGCUUACAGAGGAAGCUAAGUAGUUUACAUAUAAGGAAGUCGGUUGUAAUUGGGAGGGGGUCAUUGGAAUAAUCUCUGUGUAAUACAAGAAAGUACUAUGCAAUUGUGAAGAAGCCGAGCAAGGUUUUAACAUUGGUAUCAGCCAGUGUCGAUUCCUCUCAAUCCUUCAUUGUUGUAUGCCUCGCCGACCCCGGAACACCAUGGAAUCGCGAGUGUCGACUUUGGAAACCAUGCUCGCCGAUCUCAAAGCUGAGUUCAACUAACAGCCAAGAGAUGAUCAUGAUGCAGCUGCAAUCAUGAUGCAGAUGGAUGCAUUAUUUGUGGCUUUUAUCGUUAUUGAAAUCUUGUUGGAAUUUCGACAUUUAUUGAUCAUAAUGCAUCCAUCUGCAUCUCCGUUGUAUCAUUACCCUGUACAAAGAAAGUGGCUCGAAGUCUUGAGAAGCAACAUAACCAACAAUCACACCACGGCAUUUGGGUGCUCCAUUAGAAAUGGUGGGACUACGACCAGGAAUCCCAGGUACAUUACGUCUUGCUACAGUUAAAAGGGACAAGUGCUCAAAAUCAAAUACAUAUUCGUGAUAUAACUUUGGCACUCUUAUUUCUGAUACAUAGUGACUGAGCAGAUAAUCAUAGAUAAAAUCUUUAAAAAAAAAAAAUAUCACAAUUUCAACCAGAAAUUUCAAUGGCUCUGACGUCAACGUUCUUCAACUCCGCCUUCGGAACAGUGACACUCAGAACUCCAUUCUCCAUGGCAGCCUUAAUCUGAUCAACCUUUGCGUUCUCCGGAAGCUGAAACCUCCUCAAGAACUUGCCGCUGCUCCUCUCCACUCUGUGCCACUUGUCGUUUAUAUCCUCCUUCUCCACGUUCCUCUCUCCGCUGAUCUUAAGCACCCUGUCGUCUUCCACCUCCACCUUCACCUCCUCUUUUUUCAGCCCUGGAACGUCCGCCUUGAACACAUGGGCUUCGGGGGUCUCCUUCCAGUCGACCCUAGUGUUCACAAAAGCCGAAUUCUCCCGAGAAAAUUCAGGAAAUGCGGAGAGUGAUGAGGAGGAAGGGAACGGGAAAUCCUUGAAAGGGUCCCACAGAUUGAGGGAGAAUGGGUCGAAGACGCUGCUGCUUCCUCCUCCGGAGUUGGGAAUUAGCGACAUUCUGAAAAACCGAUGGGGUUGGUUUGGAUGCAGAGAAAUUUGAGAAUUAUUACAGAAAUAUUGCUUUUGCUGGACUGAUUGCAGAAAUAGCGGAUUUGAUAUAUUUAUAAGGAACCGAAGAAUUUUCUAGAACAGACUUGAGGAUGAGGCUGGAAAAGUAUGUGUGAGUUUCUCGAACUUUCUAUGAUGCUUGAGAAUAAUUGGAACUUUCUCAGGACGCUUAAGAAUAAUCCGACGUUUGUGUGAGUUACUCACACAACACGGUUGACUUCAUGAUGAUGAAUGGUGGACCCAAAAACCUAAGUGUGGGGGUUGUAUGGGCCGUUCGAUUUAAUCGGACGGUUAAAACUGAAGAUACUGUGCAAGUUAUAAGCGGGGCGUUUGAAUCUUUGAUAUGUAUUAUUUGGACUUAUUGAUAAAUAAUAAUAGUUCCAUUAAAUUAACAAUAUCAACUAAAUAUCAAUAACAUUUAACAUCUCAUGAAGUAGCUUAUCUAAAGGUAAAGGGAGUUAUAGCCCAAACAAGCAAAUUACGUACCAACAGUUAAGUAAUAUGAUGGUUACUUAGUACUAUAUUUUAAUGAUUUUUUUUAUUUGUGAGUAAGAAAUCUUAAAUUCGAUUUUAAAUUUUAAAGCUUUGAUUGGAUCAGUUUGAAUGAAAAGUGUUAACCAAGCUUCUAAAACUGGAGAAAGGAUUUCUAGGCAGCAAAAGGCAAGACCCAUGGCGUACAAUUGAGAUUUAAAAAAAAAUGGCUUUGAGAUUUUGUUGGUUAGGAUGUCCUUCCCUCAAUUGUGAGCAGCUCUUAAUUUGCUUUCUUCGCAGGCAGGCGAAUUGGAGACAAUAGUAUGCUUUUGAAGGAGUUUCUUAAAAAUUACCACAGAAACAAUGGUCUUCCUAGAUGUGCCUUGCAGGUGGACAUUCUGAUAGCUUGUGAUACCAGGUUGGAAAAUGGGUUACUAGGAUUAGGCUGGUUCAUAGUUCGAUUCCAUUUAAUUGUAACUGGUAGAAGAAAAAAAAACACUUUCAAACGAAUUUGUAUAGAAUUUAUAUGCUACGACUAAUAGUAGCCCUACUAUUGUUCGAAAUAGAUUAUCAAUUCUAAUUGUGAUGUUUGUACCGUAAAAUAAUGUGAUGCCACGAACGAAUAAGGAUGGCUCAAGCCAUGUAUUGUGCCUUGAGAAUGUGGGGUUGGGAAGCAAUGCAUCCAAUUUUUCUUUCACUUUAUCCUUUUUUUUUUUUUUUGUUAAAGAAAAUACCAUAUGGUUCGUAAGCAAAGUAUCCAAAUCUUUUUCACCUUUUUUUUUGAUAAAGAGAAAUACAAAGUGGGUUCGAAAGCAAUGCAUCCCAUUCUCUUUCCCUUUGUCUUUUUCUUGUUAAAAAAGAAUAACCUUUGUCUUUUUCUUGUUAAAAAAGAAUAAAAAUACCUUACUUCAGAAUCACCUCCUCUUGAGGUAAUGCUCGUUAAAUAUAUAUUUUUUGCUUCUCUAUUUAUAUUGUUAGAGAACUCUUAUUAACCUUUCCCCAUUGAAGUUAUCUGCUCAUUGCAUUGCUGAGGUAACAUAAUCUGUCCUCCUUGUGCAUGAUACCAUUCAACAUUCAUAUUUUCUAGCAAAUUCGUGAAGUAACAAUGUCAAGACCAGACACAUGAGUUGUUGCUGAAUAAGUCAUAGAUUUCAGAAUUUCACUUUUACUCUAGCAAACUGUUGCAUUGGGUUGAUUUACAAUACAAGUACGUACGUACAUCUUGGAAACUUUAUUUCUUUUCAAUAUUUGUUGUUUUAGGUGUUUAUUUUUACCCAUGUGUGACUAAGAAACAAAAGUGUUGGUUUUACAUUAUAUUUUCUAGCAAAUUCGUGAAGUACCAGAUCCAACACCAGACAUAUUGUUGUUGAACAAGGCAUAGAUUUCACAAUUUCAUUUUUUUCCCCUACCGGUUAGUUGCAUUUGGUUGAUUACAAUACAGGUACGUAUGUUCUUAGAAACUUCAUUUCUUUUCAAUAUUUGUUGUUUUAGGUGUUUGUACUAUAUGUUUAUGCAUUUUGAUGUUCAUCCACGUCAACUGAAAUUGAGCUAAUCCCCCCCCCCCCAUAAUCGAAUUUUUACUUUUCUCACUCAAUACAAAAAGUUUGAAAACACAUCUACUAUAUGGUGGUGAAAUGUAAACUAUUAGAAAUUUAUAUGCUGUAAAAUAAUAAAGAGUAAAUAAAUAUACACAUGCACUGAAACCAUCAAUUGAAAAUAUGAAUUUACCCCUUGAAAUUCAAUUUUCUUUAACUAAAACUCAUCAUAGUAUAUUUUCCUAACAAAAACUCAUUGACUUUACCUCUUGAGAAAAAAAACAGGGCCUUCGGGUUUUUUACAUAUAUUUUUUUUUAACACUUCUCCUAUUUAUAUUGUUAGAAAGCUCUUAUUAACUCUUCCCCAUUGAAGUUAUCUGUUCUUAUAUUUGCAUUGAUGUGCAUCAUCUUUCCUCCUUGUGCAUGCUAACAUUCAACAUUCAAAUUUUCUUGCAAAUUCGUGAAGCACCACUACCAGUACCAGACAUAUGAUUUGUUGCUGAACAAGGCAUAGAUUUCAAAAUUUUCAAUUUUACUCUGUUGGACAAUUGCAUUGCGUUGAUUUACGAUACAGGUAUGUAGUACUUCUCUUAAACUCUAGUUAUGUCCAAUAUUUGUUGUUUUAGGCGUUUGUUUUUAUCCUGCUUGACUAAGAAACUAAAAUGUUAGUUUUACAAUCUAGUGCCCACCAGAUAUUCUAUUUCAGGAUCCAGAUCAACAAUUUUAUUGAUUAGGUUUUGACUUCACAUAAUUUUGUAUUUUUAGAUGUUUAAAAUAUCCCUAGUAACAUAUGUUAGAUUAAAAACAAAUUUUAAUAUCUUGAUUUCAUUGCAUAUUAAUAAUAAAAGUAUAUGAUUCUAGGGUUUUCAUUGUUUUAUUUUAUUUUUUUCCUUUUUAAAUUCCUUGGUUGCUUUUCAAAUUUGCAUAAGAUUAAAUAAGAUGUUCUUGACCUCCAAAACAAGGGCUUUGAAAAUGUGGCCCAUCCUGCACCUCCACCAGAGAUAUGGUCAACAUUCGAAAAAGGUUUUAAGGAUUUUAAGUCCAGAAAGGCAAACAUGAAUGAGGUGAUAGAGGGUUUGAAGAGGGUAGAAGUACGAAUGAUUGGGAUUUGUGGAAUGGGGGGCGUGGGUAAAACCACAAUGGUAAAAGAAAUCAUCACAAGAUUGGCAAAACUGAACCUGUUUGAUAAGAUUGUAAUGGCAACUGUGUCUCAAAGUCCAAGUAUUAGGACGAUCCAGUCGGAAAUUGCAGACGAAAUAGGCUUGGAAUUUAAGGUGGAAUCCGAGCCCGGAAGAGCACGAAAGCUACAUGAGAGACUCAUGGAAAUAAAGAGGAUCCUCAUUGUAUUAGAUGAUGUAUGGACAGAGCCUAAUUUUGAGGCUAUAGGGCUUCCUUAUGGAGAUACUCAUAAAGGGUGCAAAAUUUUGUUGACAUCAAGAGAUUCGGAAGUCUGCAACAGGAUGGGAAGUCAACAAAUUAUUGCAGUCCCGACUUUAACAACAGAAGAAUCACAGGAGCUCUUUCGAGAAAUGGUAGGUGAAUCCUUCAAUGAUCCUGAUUUACGUUCCACUGCAGAAGAUGUCGUGAAGGAAUGUGGAGGUUUACCUAUUGCUAUUGUAACUGUUGGAAAAGCCCUAGAAAAGAAAAACAAGCGUGAAUGGGAUGAUGCCCUUAAUCAGCUGCGUAAUUCCAGGCCAGAGAAUAUCCCUGGAGUGAACGACAAAGUUUAUUCUUGCAUAAAAUGGAGUUAUGAUAGAUUAGAGAGUGAUGAAGCCAGGUCAUGUCUUUUACUUUGUUGUUUAUUUCCAGAAGAUUAUGAUAUUUCAAUUGAGUAUUUGGUUCGAUAUGGGUGGGGUCGAGGAUAUUUUAGCAGCAUCGUUACUUUGGAAGAUGCAAGAAAUAGAGUGCAUUCUUUGGUUUACCAACUAAAAAGAAGGUUUUUGUUGCUAGAUAGUUAUGUGAGUGAGGCUACGAAAAUGCACGACGUAGUUCGUGAUGUUGCCAUAUCAAUUGCUUCAAGAGAUCCACAUGGAUUUCUGAUAAGUAAUGCUGAAAAUAAAAGGUGGCCAAAUUUAGCUACAUAUGACCAUUACACUACAAUCUCACUUGUUGGCAAAUUGGAGAUUCCAGUUGGUUUGAAAUGCCCAAAACUUGAGCUUCUACAAAAGAUGAAAGGACGUUUUUCAGAAGGUAGCAUGGACAUCAUUAGUGAUACGAUGAGAGAACUGAAGGUUUUAGCUUUGGUGGAAAUGAAAGACCUAGGCUCAUCAAGACCACUAGGAGUACUGAAGAACCUGCGAACCUUGUGCCUAGAUAGGUCUAAAAUUGAUGGCAUGUCUACUGAUGUUAUUGGGAGUUUAGAGAAUUUAGAAAUCCUCAGCUUUCGUGGUUGUGUUUCCUUGCAUGAGUUGCCGAGGGAAAUUGGACGACUUAAACAGUUAAGGUUGUUAGAUACGACAGAUUGCAGGAAUCUUGAGGUGAUUCCACAUGGUAUCUUCUCCAGCUUAUGUAGACUUGAAGAGUUGUAUAUGCUUAAUAGCUUUACGAAAUGGGAAAUUGGAAGAGGAAGAGAAGAUAAGGGGAUGGCAAGCAUUUCUGAGGUGAUGUCUCUGUCUGAUCAUUUGAAGGUUCUAGCCAUAAAUAUACCCAGUGUCAUCCACUUGUUGCCAAAAGAUAGAGUCUUGAAAAGCCCAACAAUAAGAUUCGGUAUAUGCUUUGGAACUGGGCAAUGCGUUUUUGGAAGAUGACAAUUUAUGCAUUCGAAAAUUGUUUGGUGAUUGAUGAAAGUGAUGCAAAGGAGUUGGAGAGUCAAGCAGUUAGACUUUUGUUGAAAAAAUCUAAAAAAUUGAUUUUGAGCAAUGUUAAGAAUUUCCGUGUCCUCACAUAUUUAGACCAAGAGGGAUUUCAAGAUUUGAAAAUUUUGCUUGUUUUGAAUUGUCCAACUACCGAGUAUCUUGCAAAUGGAACAAGUGUGACCCAGCAAAAACUCUUUCCUCUCAUACAGUCAGUUAGUCAGCUUGCAGAUAGCUUUUUGAGCAACCUAAGAUUCCUAAAAUUGGCAGAUUGUGGUAUCUUAAAAUAUGCAUUUUCACUAUCACUAGCGAGAAACCUGGUACAACUCAAAGAUUUAUAUAUUUAUGAAUGUGAUCAGAUGGAAGAAAUUGUGUCAAAGCAGGGGAAGGAACAUGAGGAGGAAGCCGAUAUGAUAUCUUUCCAUAAAUUAACCAAUUUGAGUCUCUGGGGUCUACCGAGUUUGGUUGGUUUCUUCCAAGCCAACAAGCUAUACUCCAACCAAGAGGUAUGUCCCACUCUCCAAUUUCUAUGAUAUGAGGAGGCAACCAAAUUGUGGAAAUUUGAAAUUGUUACGAAAUGCUUAAGUUGGUGUAUAAUUUUUCUUUAACUGAUAAUGAUUUUUCUUUUUCAGGAAACAACGCCAAGGGUUGAGCAUCAAUCUGCAUGAAUAUUUGAAAAAGCAAUAUUUCCAUCAAAGUGCAUUUCAUGGUUACCAAGUUUAGAAAAGGUAGGAUUUGUUUGGAUUAAAACUUGACUUUGGGCUCAAGAUAGAAGCUGGCCCAAAAGGAGGCCUGAAGGAAUAGAAGAUCAAGGCCCGGCCGAAACCUAGGAAAGCAGAGAAGGGCUUUUUCUGACUUGAUACAAUUCAUAAGGACCACUUCCUUACCUACCCAAGGACCAAGUGGUAUAGACUGACCAGACUGCACAGCCCAUAAAGUACUUUAUGGUGGCAUUACAUGUAAAAAAGCUGAUGAGUCAUUACCCUCAAACUGCAUUCGGGCAAGGCUGCUGCUACAGGAGGCCAAACCAAGUUGUCUAUAAAAGGAGGAAGAGAAGACAAGAAUAAGGACACUCAAUCAAACAAACAAAUACAAGCCCAAACUCUGCUCAAAAACCAUAUUUGCCUUCAAAACGAAGCUGUAGUCAGCCCAAGCCUUCAUCCCAUUCGGGACAAGCCUUUAUCCCCCGCGGGAUAACCUUCUCUUCAAACCUUUGUAAUAGCUCUGCUACCUUGUUCGAACUUGUUGUAGUAUCGAUUCACUUUUUGUAUCUCCCUCUCCCCCCUCUCUCCCUCUAAGCUUUCAGACCUUUGACAAAACUACAAAGAUAAGGACCUGUAAGACGAUCAGCCUUAACUGAUAAGGUUUAACCUUGCCCGACCUUCUUUGCUUUGUCUUUGUCUUUUCAUUCUUUAAAGCCUAGCAAUAUGUUGUAUACUUCCAGUUAUAUGCAAGUUGUUUCUAGCAAAAUAAUGAUGAAAAGGCUUUCUCAGUAUUUGGAUCCGAUUUGAAUAUAUCUUCAGUGCUCAAAUCAGAUCCAAGUCCUAAGCCCUCGGGCAUGUAAAUCUGAUCAGUUUAAAAGUCCUUAGCCUCAAGGCAUAAAAAAGAACUUUAUGUGGACUUAACCCAUCCACGACAGUCCUUGAUAAACGAGAAGUCCGAAGUUACUUGGGGCGCAAGUAAUCGACCUACCUCUUGGUUUUGUUUCUAUUAUAUUAUGAUUAUCAUAGAACGCUUAAAUAUGGAAUAGAUUCUGAUAGGAAGCCUCAAGGCCUACACCUAAGGCCCCACAAAGGCACCUAUUUGGAUUCAUUCUAUUCUGCGGUCUAGACUGUUCGAAGAACGAACUCUAAUGGGAAGCCUCAAGGCCUACACCUAAGGCCCCACAAAAGCACCCAUUUGGGUUCGCUCUACCUCUCGGACUCGGGUAAUCAGAAGUAUAAUGGUGAGAAGACUUCUGCAAUCAUAAAGAUCAAAUAUGAUGUGUUCGAGCACUGGUUUAGUUUGAGAGAAAGCCUCAAGGCUUACACCUAAGGCCCCACAAAGGCACAUGUCAUGUCUAAACACGGUUUCUUGGGCAUAUACAUAUUCACAACUAAAACUCGACAUCCAUUCGACAUCUACCAUACUGAAGAUGGCAGUGGCACGCCUGAGCACCUCAAAAGUUAAUCUUGAUUGUGAGCCUCAAGGCCUAUACCUAAGGCCCCACAAAGGCACCUUUCAAAUUAACUCUGUCAUUCUCUUUCAGCACUGCCCGACGAGCCUUGCCCGAAGAGUCUUGCCCGAUCAAGACUUGCCCGACAAAGCCCGAUAGGAAAGCAGAAGCCCGACAGCAGCCCUCAACCGGCGCCAACCUCCCGGGGAGCUGUGUGCUUGUUGGCCAGGAAGACAUCCCCGACGGAAAUUCCUGCGACGAACAGGAUUGACAUAUAUUAUGAUGUUUGACGGCGUGAUAUUUGAUCUUAAAAUCCACAUAGUUACGGAUGGGCAGACAACUCCAAUAUUUCCUCAGUUACGUGAGUUGGCAAUAAGGAGUUGUUCAUUUACACACUUGUGGAAAAACAUUCCAUUUGGAUUUCAGGGUUUCCAAAAUUUGAGAUAUUUGAAAUUAAGAUAUUGUUAUGGUCCAGAAUAUGUGUUCUCGCAUUUAAUUGCCCGGGAACUUUUGAAUCUUGAAGAGGUAAAGAUAUCAAAAUGUUCGGACAUGGAAACUAUAGUCAGAAUCACAGAGGAAAUUGAAGAAGAGGCGACAAAAUACAUGAUUUUGUUUCCGAGACUGAACAGAUUUGAACUAGUAGACCUGCCUCGUCUCACAAGUUUUUGUCCAGAGGGAUUUACAUUUCAAUGGUCAUCCACAAAAGAUAUGCACGUGGAAAAAUGUGAAAAAUUGAAGACAUUGGGUGCUGUAAUUCCACAAAGAAAGAAGUUGGAGAAUUAUAAGUCUGAGAAGGAUUCAACAAGUCAUGAUUUCAGUACUUCUCCAACACGUUCAUCCAAUUGGUGCCCUGCUGGAUGUGUAUGCAUACCAUAUUUAAGAGCAAACGCCCACUGCUCCAUUGAAAUAUUGCCACAUCCAAUUAAUUUGGAGGUAAGCUUUUAAAUUAGGUUCAAUUAACCUCUAUAAGUACAACUUUUAAUUAGUAUUGUAUCUUGUUGUUGAUCAUGUUUAAUUUUCUAGGUUACACCAACUAAUCUUGGGGACUCAAAUGAUAAUGAUAAUCUCGAAAAUCUUAUUGUACAUGACUGUGCGUCAUUGGAAGUGAUUUUCCAACUCAAGGGACCGAAGCAUGAAGAAAGUAGUCACUCUGUUGAAGCAUUCAAUAAAUUGAGGUCCUUGCGGUUACAUAAGCUCUAAGUUUAACGUGUGUUUGGGAGACAGGUAGUUCACAGCCGAUGUUCACAGGAAGCAGUUUUGGAAACUUGAAAUCGCUGCAGGUCGAUUUUUGCAACCAGUUGAAAUACUUGUUUUCGUCGUUCAUAGUCAAACUCCUUGUGAGUAUAGAGGAAGUAGAAGUUAAGAAGUGUGAGCAGAUGAAAGAAAUCGUUGCCGCAGAAGAAGAAACUGAUGAAAUAAUUACAUUACCUAAAGUGAAGUCCAUCAAGCUUCAAAGUCUGCCAAAACUCAAUUAUUUUUGUGGUGAUGCUUAUACUUUGAAGUUGUCGUCUUUGGAGUUACUGGAGGUUAAGAAGGUCCAAAACUUAAGGCGAUUUGCUCCUAAGCUUGUUGACACACAUCCCCGAUUGCAAGUACGCACAGCGUUGGGAGUGGCUGAAUGGAAGGAGGACCUCAAUGCCACUCUAAGGAAUAUUUACGACACAAGGUAUGCUUUAAUGUAAGGUUUUUAAUUUUCAGUCAUUUAUGUGCGUAUUUAAUGUAAGAAUGCGAGCUGGAUGGAUGAAGUGUAAGAAUGCAUCCGGCGUAUUGUGUGACCGUCGUAGGCCACUGAAGCUCAAGGGAAAAUUUUAUAGGACGGCAAUAAGGCCGCGAUGUUGUAUGACACAGAAUGUUGGGCGGUGAAGCAUCAACACGUACACAAAAUGGGUGUAGCGGAGAUGAGGAUGCUUCGUGGGAUGUGUGGGCACACGAGAAAGGAUAAGAUUGGGAAUGAGGAUAUCCGAGGUAAAGUAGGAGUAGCCGAAAUUGUAGGAAAGAUGAGAGAAAAUCGGCUCCGGUGAUUUGGACAUGUGCAAAGAAGGCCGAAUGACGCUCCGGUUCGAAGAUGUGACUACGGGACAGAGGUUCAGGGCCGAAGGGGCAGAGGAAGACCUAGGAAAACUUUGGAAGAGACUCUAAGAAAAGACUAAGAGUACUUGGAUCUAACGGAGGACAUGACACAAAACCGAGCGCAAUGGCGUUCUAGGAUUCAUAUAGCCGACCCCACUUAGUGGGAAAAGGCUUUGUUGUUGUUGUUGUUGUUGUAUGUGCGUAUUUAAAGAUGUUUUUUUUUUUAAAACAUCUAUCUUUUAAUUCUUGAUGUAUACGUGGGAUUUCUAAAGUUUUUACAAAAGACUGAAUAAUAGCGUACAUAUAUUAAUGUAUAUGUGUGUGUAUAUGCGAGUAUGUGCACACUAAGGUGUGUGUGUGCCUAUAUAUAUAUAUUUUUUUUUAACUCAAUUGUAUCUCAAGAAAACAUCGUCUUUUAUUUCUAAUACAGUAAGGAUGAAGAUGACGAACUCGACAGUGAGGAUGAAGAUGACGAACUCGACAGUGAGGAUGAAGAUGACGAAAUCAACGGCGAGGAUGAAGAUGACGAAAUCGACAAUGAGGAUGAAGAUGAGGAAAUCGACGGCGAGGAUGACGAUGACAAAAUCGACGGCAAUGAUGAAGAUGACGAAAUGAACAGGGACGACGAACACAAUUGAUUGAUCAAGCACAAAGAUUAGCAUGUUUCCAUCUCCAACUUCUUCUAGGUUUAGUAAAAACUGAUGAAAAUUGUCUAUAUAGUACUCAAAAAAAUAUUCUACCAUGUUUUAUAUAAUAUAUACAUACAUUUAUAGCACUUAAAAAAAUUUAACAGUUUGGAUCUAAAACCAGAAUCUGCUACCUGUUUCAUUUUUUCGAGGUACCUAAUAGCAAUUAAGGACCUUUGUCAGACACGUAUACAAUAAACAUAACCCUAGUGCUAAGUGGCUUAAAAAUUAAUUUAGUCCUUAAACCGCUAUUUUUGGAAACACAUACAACAAGCACAAGCGUUUCAACUUAUUCCAAUUUCAGUGAUUUCUAAUAUUCUCCAAUGCAUGCAGGAAAAGAGUUUAAAGAACGUUGUGGCUACAGCAAUUCGUUUACUAUAUCAUAUGUACAAACCAAUAAAAGGACAUUUGUUGCACCCUAAUUUCAUUCCAAAAAUACUAUUUAUGUUGCUUAUUUUAUGUACCAUAAAUUCCAAUUGCGAUUAUUACUGUUUGUUUCUAAAUUCGCAUCAUUAGUGUUUGCUUAUUUGUGCUCGAUGUUGAUUAUAUUCUUGCAUUUCCAUUCAUAAUGAUAAUUUGGAAGUCUUGUCUCUAGCUAACUAAUAUUUGCAUUUCAAUUGAUAAUGAAAAUUCUAUGAUACCAUACAAGUGUUAGCUGAAUGACAUGUCUGUAGGAUGGAAAGCUGAAUAUACUGUAAUAUUGAUCACACACAUAUAAACUGAACAAUAUUAUGAUACACUAGCUAGCCGUAACUAAUGAAAGCUGAAUAAUAUGAUCACACACUAUAAAGUCCGCUAUUAUAGAAACUAACUUGGGGAUUGGAUAAGGGACGGCAAUAUUGGCCCAAUUCCGGCGAUAUUGGCCCGAAAACCCUGGGUCACCGUGUCUUAGAUUUGAAGUUGAGGAAAAUCGCCUACGAAUUUAUAGAAACUAACUUGGGGAUUGGAUAAGGGACGGCAAGAGCAUUCUGGAUGUGUAGUUUGAGAGCCUUUGGUGACCAGUGGACGACAGAGCUGUUGCGUCGGCACUCGGCAGUCGUCGGCUUGCUGUUAAAUGGGGCUCCUGUUGCAGCGCAAAAGAGAAGAAGGAAAGAGGAUACGGGAGGAGAGAAAAUGGGUUUCACCCACUUUGUACAUUAAUUCUUUUCCACAUUUUUUAUGGAAUAAACGACAUUAUCUAUCAUCAAAAGUGCGUUUGGUACGUGAGAUGAGACGGAACAUGUUUUGAUGAUAAUAAUGGUUAGAAGUAAUAUAGUUCAAAUUCAUCUUUGAUGAUAAUCGAAUAUAAAAUCCCUUACUUACAAGUUACAAAUAAAGAUGAAUGCCAUUAAUUUUUUUUCCACUUUUAAUACAUACCUAAAUAAAAAGAAACAAAAUGAAAAUGAAAAGAAAUAAUAAUUUGAAAGAGAAAUGAAAAAUAAAGGUAAAUUGACAGCAUAAGGUAACCCCACUACCCCGCUGCUGCCCGCAAGUUCUUUCCUCGCCCCUGUUUCUACGUCCAAUUAAUCUGUAGAAACUAACUUGGGAGUUGGAAAGAGAACGGAAAGAGGAGUCUGGAUAUGUAAUUUGACGGCCGUUGGUGACCCGUGGACGAAAAUAAACUUCAUGCGAAAACAAGACCAGAUUGAGGUAAGAAAGAAAAAUACAUAGGCAGAAAUAACAUGUCAGUCGGGCAAGACAAGUAAUUGCAACCAUAACACAACACAAUGAAGAAACAUACCACGAGGAUUUUGAACAAACAUAAUGAAGUGUAACCAAGAGCAUACAAAUAUCAAAAAUAUAGAAAAGAAUGCUAUACAAUCACUAUAAGUGAUUGCAAAGGCCAUCUUUCCUCGCCCCUGUUUCUACGUCCAAUUAAUUAAUCUGGAGGUAAGCUUUUAAAUCAGGUUGAAUUAACCUCUAUAAGUACAUCUUUUAAUUAGUAUUGUAUCAUCUUGUUGAUCGUGUUUAAAUUUCUAGGUUACACAACCUAAUCUUGAGGACUCAAAUGAUGAUGAUAAUCUCGAAAAUCUUACUCUAAUUAACUGUAAUUCAAUGGAAGUCACAUAAAAUUAUCAGAUUCCACAAUAGUAUUGGAAAUAACCUUUAGUCCUUAAACAGCUAUUUUCAGAAACACACAUUUCAGUGAUUUCUAAUAUUUUCCAAUGCAUGCAGGAGUUUCCCGAAAGAAAAAAAGAAGGUUGUGGCUUCGGCUAUUCGCUUACUUUCAUAUGUACAAACCAAUAAAAGGUCAUUUGUUGUACCAGAAUUUCAUUCCAAAGAUACAGUUUCCGUUGCUUACUAUAUGUAUAAUUAAUUUCGAUUGCGAUUAUUACUGUUUGAAUUCAUCUCUCGACUGCCUAUGGGGACGUCAAGGUGGACACCAAAAUGGAGGCGUGAUGACCUGCAUCCGGAAAGUGACGUAGCCAUAACGUGCAUGCAAAUAUAAUUUAAUAAAAUAACUUCAAAUGAUCUACGGAAAAAUCGGCAUAGUUUCCUUUGGAAUUAGGUUUUGGCCCCCAAAUUUAAAACCUGCUGAAAAAGUUAUAAUUAUUUCAAAACCACAUCCCCGACACCUAAUGGGUUAUCAACCCUCUACUACAUGCACGUAUACUCCAAUAUACUUACUGGUGGUAUAGCAUACA